UAACAGCUACUUAAGAUAGGCUGCGGCUGAUAAUGUUAAUGGAUCGUCUAGUAAGCGCCUAAGAAUUUACAAAAAAAAGCCAGACAUUCUGUCUGAUUGACUCGAUGGAUUGACUGACUUCAGUAAAAGACAAAAGUGUCAAAAUCAGAAUUUCAGAUGUUGACGAAGCGAAGUUGUUUAUAAAAUAAACUCAUAUCUUGUUAAGAAUACUUUAAUUCCGCCAAUUUCAGCUGAUAAGUUACUAACUAUCUCACUGCUGGUAACUAUCUCAUAGUUCGAUAACUCGUCCUAAUGGUUGGACUGUAUGAAUCAAAAGCUGGAAGUUAUUUAACAACUGUUAUUUUCUAUCAUAACUGAAUAAUGUCUGUGAAUUAUAUUCCUAGAGUAACACAGUUAGGGGCUGGUUAGAGGAGAAUUUCAUCAGCGACUUGCUUUAUUUGCCAGUUAGAUGCUGUGCAGUUGGACAAUCAACUUGAAGAACUUUUCAAGCAGUUGGUUUUUCAAGCAACAAAAUUCAUAGAGCCCCAGUAUGUUCAACCUAUUCUGCCCGAGUUGGAACUUUUGAUAAGAACAUGGAUUUUUAAAUAUUCUGUGUAUGACCAAAAGAGUACCUUUGGGCAACAGAUGCUCUCAUUGAAUUAUAAAUCAGAUAAUUUUGCUAGAAGUAAACUAUUCUGGUAUUAUGGUUACAAUGUUGGGCUGAAGUAUCUUAGAGAAAGAGCAAUCUACAGUUUUACUUCCAACACAAAAGUUCAGAAUUUUAUUAAUAAAUUAGAAACUUUUCAAUUGAUUGGUGAAAUACUGAACUUCUGUAGAUUCAUACAGACUGGCAAAUAUCCACUGCUCAUAGAUUUUAUAUUGGGCAUUGAGUUGUCUGCUGAGAAGUUGACUAGAGAAGACCUAACUGAUUUCUCUUGGACUAGAGAACUUUUGUGGCAUAAUUUUAUUGAAUUAAUAGGCACAUCAAUAGCAUUGAUCAACAUCUUUGGAGUAAGAAGUAAACUAUCAAACUUACUGAAGUAUGUGUGGUGGCGACAACAUGUCCGAUCAACAGCCAGUACUAUGGAGGCUGUGAUGACAUUACAGACAGUCUGUGCUUGCUGUAACAAUAAGCCAGUGCUACCUCACACUUUGGGCUGCAGCCACAUAUUUUGUUACUAUUGUAUAAUGGCGAACAAAACUGCAGAUCAAGACUAUUCUUGCCCAAAAUGCUAUUUUAAUGGAAGAGAAAUCAACAAACUUAUAAUGCCUGGCCAUCAAUAAAUGCGUACUAAGUAAAUAUUAAUGGGAAACGUGGUACUGUGAACUGUGGCUGUGUACUUUUAAAAGUUUCAUUGAGUGUCGUAAAAGCGUCUAUGGUUUAAAAAAGGUUGCCUUUGUCAUUGAGUAUUUGUUUUGUAUAUUGAUUUGAAUUACGAAUCCAAAAUUCUAUUUAAUAAAAUCUAAUCGAUCAGGAUAUAUUUGAUUGGUUCGUAGUUCGAAUCAUUUUUUUUUCAAAAGUGUUAAAGUUCGUAGUGAAUUUGUCUGAAACAAGACUUGGCACACGCUUCGAAUUUAUUCGAGACUUUCCUAAUAUCUUACGUAGUUCUUAAUUCUUUUGUAUAGAACAUAACAUUUUGUCCCUUACUAUGCCAACCAAAAAAAAAUCCAACCUUUCGCGAGUUAGCCGAGAUGCGAAAAGGAUGAGACUUAAUAGGUCUCAGGAAUCAGAAGAAGAUCGUGAAGUGCGGUUAUCUAUCAACCGAGAGAACAUUGCUCUGUCACGUGCAUCUGAAACUUUUACUGAGAGGUGCAAACGCUUAAGUUUGCUAAGAAUUCGAGCCGCGACUUUGCGCUCUCGGGAGAGCACUAAGCAACGCGAGCGACGGCUUGCAGCUGAUCGAGAUAGGCACACCCUCUCGCGCUAUUCAGAGACUUUUAUCGAAAGGGAGUUACGUUUAAGUUCGCAAAGAACUCGAGCCGCGGCUCGGCGCUCGCAAGAGAGUAUCGAAGAACGUGAAGCACGUUUAGCCUCCGACCGACAGCGUCGUGCCCUCUCGCGCCAAUCCGAAUCUCUUUCACAAAGAGGACAACGAUUAUCAAUAGCUAGAAAUAACUGUGUGGAGGCCCGAUUAAGCUAUGAAAGUUAUCUAGCAUCUGAAAGAGAAAGAAUAGUUGAGCUAAGACGAAGAGAAACAGAGGAUCAGUCUAGCCUAUUCAUUGAACGAACCCCAUACCAUAUUGACAGAGACCCGAUUGGCCUCAUAGACACGAAUAGCAGUGCAGAUGAGUCUGUGGAAUAUGGCGGAACAAUUAAAUAAAAAUUAAAGUUAAGGGGUGUUGUUAAUUUUUUAGGUGUAAUGGUACUUUUUAGAAUUAAGCAAAAUAUUGUAAAAUUAUGUACAAAGAAAUAAACGGUGGAUUGAUUGAUUGAA
Molecule: unclassified non-coding RNA, 2414 nt
Filed under: Helicoverpa zea (corn earworm)
Lineage: Eukaryota; Metazoa; Arthropoda; Insecta; Lepidoptera; Noctuidae
Description: peroxisome biogenesis factor 2, transcript variant X1
Source: RNAcentral